GACGAACGCUGGCGGCGCGCUUAACACAUGCAAGUCGAGCGAGAACCGGGGCUUCGGCCCCGGGGACAGCGGCGAACGGGUGAGUAACACGUGGGCAACCUGCACUCGGCACCGGAAUAGCCCGGGGAAUCCGGGAUUAAUGCCGGAUGGCCCCUCCGCCCUGCGGGGCGGUGUGAAACGUUAUCUUUGUCCUCCGGCCGAGGAUGGGCCAGCGGAGGAUUAGCUUGUUGGUGGGGUAACGGCCUACACAGACUCCGAUCCGUAGCGGGUGUGAGAGGACGAUCAGCCACACUGGGAAUGAGACACGGCCCAGACUCCUACGGGAGGCAGCAGUGGGGAAUCUUGCGCAAUGGGCGAAAGCCUGACGCAGCGACGCCGCGUGAGGGAAGAAGGCCUUCGGGUUGUAAACCUCUUUCAGGAGGGACGAAGCCACUCGGGUGAAUAGCCCAGAGGGUGACGGUACCUCCAGAAGAAGCCCCGGCUAACUACGUGCCAGCAGCCGCCGCAG
This 508-nucleotide ribosomal RNA is filed under the name uncultured bacterium. RNAcentral's name for it is "partial 16S ribosomal RNA". It matches the Rfam family "Bacterial small subunit ribosomal RNA", at positions 28 to 523 of the family's 1533-position model. The record is from RNAcentral.